UACGGAGGGUGCAAGCGUUAUCCGGAUUCACUGGGUUUAAAGGGUGCGUAGGUGGGCAGGUAAGUCAGUGGUGAAAUCUCCGGGCUUAACUCGGAAACUGCCAUUGAUACUAUCUUUCUUGAAUACCGUAGAGGUCAGCGGAAUAUGUCAUGUAGCGGUGAAAUGCUUAGAUAUGACAUAGAACACCAAUGGCGAAGGCAGCUGGCUACACGAAGAUUGACGCUGAGGCACGAAAGCGUGGGGAUCAAACAGG
This 253-nucleotide ribosomal RNA is filed under the name uncultured bacterium. RNAcentral describes it as "partial 16S ribosomal RNA". It matches the Rfam family "Bacterial small subunit ribosomal RNA", at positions 524 to 776 of the family's 1533-position model. The record is from RNAcentral.